AGUGUUAACCAUGUUCUGAAGAGCAUUCUGUUGAAAAAUCUUAUAUGUGAAUUGGGUCUGCAGAUGACACUUCAGCAUUAAAGUAUGUAUCAACUAUCAUCAUGUGUUUUUUGUUUUGGUCGCAAAAGUUUACAAUUUGCCAUUGUGCCGUCUACAUUUUGCACAGACAAUAACUCAUCUAAAACACUUAUUUGUCCUGGAUUUAUAUACAUCAGAAUCCAGUCUCACAUACUUAAACUUUAUAAUUCUUACCAAUUAUUUUUUGUACCAGCAUUCCAAGGGACAUAACCCUUUUUUAAAAACAUUUUGAGGUAUUUUUUAUUACUCUUUCUCCCCAUUUUCUAAUGUAAAAUACAAGAAAGUGGACUUUUUGUGUAAAUCUAUUAGAAAUAUACUGUUAUGAGUAAAUAAAAAGACUUUGAUACCAGUAGCAAUAAAUGAUUGACUGAAAGGGAACCGUUAUUUCUCACACUAGGGGAACAGACCAAAAACUCAAGUUACACAUAAGGGCUUAUAGAAACUUCCGUGUAGACUGUUAACAUUUAUAGAGACAGUUCUUUCAGCUAAAACACUUUAAUUAUUGAUUUAACAUUACAUUUAUUUCAUUUUUGUGGGAAAAUAAUCAAAUUUGUUUUAUUUUUUAGACAAAAGAUAUCAAGUUUUGAUGAAAAGGGAAGGAAGGAGGAAAAUGGACCAAAACAGACCAAAACAGACCUUCAAAUGAACUCUAAAAGGUGCAAUAAAAUUGUUUAUCAUCUUAAUGUUGUCUUUUGUAUUCUAUUUAAUUGUUUGAAUGCAUAUAUCAUGAGUUUAUGAUCAGAUAUUAGUCAACACUGCAUUUUAUAAUGAUACACUGAAAUUAGGAUUUUUCGAAGAAAUUGGACUGAAAUUGCCGUAGGAUAUGGCCUUACAUUAUAGUGAUUUUCUCUGAAACUAUAGUUCUGACUGAGACAAAACUUGACAGUUAUGCUUGAAAUAACUUGCAAUUGGAGGGGAAAAAAUUGCAUUAAGUUUAUUUGACAUUUAGGUGUUCUUUAGGUGUAAUACCACCAAAUCAUGGUACGUCACAUCCGGUUGCAUACGAAAGUAGGCCUUAAAAAAUAUUCCCUUGAAUUUGACAGUUGUAGAAAAUUAACCCUGCAUUUUAAUGCACUUAAAUUUUUUUGAGUCGUAAAUAUGUAUGUUGGGUGUCUGAAAGCAUCAUUCUUUUUUUAAUUGGUGGUCUUAUAAAAUAUUUUGGAACGUUAAGGUUACAUAGUUACCAAAGCAGGUAACCAGUAAAUAACAGUGUAAAAAUUGGGUUGUCUACCCUCGGCGGUGGUUACUUUCUUAUAUGCAAUGAAAUGUGGUGUGAAAUUUUCACUGUAUCACUGGAAAGGAUUGAACUUUACACAUGCAAAGUAUUUCUUUGGUUGAAAUAAAGCUAAAUACUGUACGAUUUUUUUAAAAGUGCCAAUUUAACAAAGACUAAUAGGGAAAAAUCAAUGGUGGUAUUACACCUAUUUAGGGAAACUAAAUGUGCACUCGUGACCCUAUUGUACGUUCAUUUUUAAAAGUUAUUAAUAAACCAGUUCAUACAUUGUAAACAUGGACUAUUCGGAAUUGAUUUAGACACAGAAAGUACGUUUGAGGUAAAAUUGCAUUGAAAUGGGGGUUUACGGGUGUUUUCUUAGUCAAAUGGAUGGACAGACGAAGCUGUAUUUAGAUUACUGUGUUAAAUUUUAAAUUACCCUUACAGUUUUUGUUUUGGUUAUACAACAUGUGAAUUUUUUAUUUCAGUGUUAACCAUGUUCUGAAGAGCAUUCUGUUGAAAAAUCUUAUAUGUGAAUUGGUCUGCAGAUGACACUUUAGCAUUAAAGUAUGUAUCAACUAUCAUCAUGUGUUUUUUUGUUUUGGUCGCAAAAGUUUACAAUUUGCCAUUGUGCCGUCUACAUUUUGCACAGACAAUAACUCAUCUAAACACUUAUUUGUCCUGGAUUUAUAUACAUCAGAAUCCAGUCUCACAUACUUAAACUUUAUAAUUCUUACCAAUUAUUUUUUGUACCAGCAUUCCAAGGGACAUAACCCUUUUUAAAAAACAUUUUGAGGUAUUUUUUUAUUACUCUUUCUCCCCAUUUUCUAAUGUAAAAUACAAGAAAGUGGACUUUUUGUGUAAAUCUAUUAGAAAUAUACUGUUAUGAGUAAAUAAAAAGACUUUGAUACCAGUAGCAAUAAAUGAUUGACUGAAAGGGAACCGUUAUUUCUCACACUAGGGGAACAGACCAAAAACUCAAGUUACACAUAAGGGCUUAUAGAAACUUCCGUGUAGACUGUUAACAUUUAUAGAGACAGUUCUUUCAGCUAAAACACUUUAAUUAUUGAUUUAACAUUACAUUUAUUUCAUUUUUGUGGGAAAAUAAUCAAAUUUGUUUUAUUUUUUAGACAAAAGAUAUCAAGUUUUGAUGAAAAGGGAAGGAAGGAGGAAAAUGGACCAAAACAGACCAAAACAGACC
This 2492-nucleotide long non-coding RNA is filed under the name Mytilus galloprovincialis (Mediterranean mussel). Lineage: Eukaryota; Metazoa; Mollusca; Bivalvia; Mytilida; Mytilidae. The record is from RNAcentral.